AGCGAACAUUGGCGGUAGGCUUAACACAUGCAGGUCGAGCGAGGCGUAAUAGUCGAGCGGCGAACGGGUGAGUAAUACAUGGGAAUCUACCUCGAAGUGGGGGAUAACAGCCAGAAAUGGCUGCUAAUACCGCAUAAUCCGGGAACGGGAAAGCGCGCUGCGCUUUGAGAUGAGCCCAUGGCUGAUUAGCUAGUUGGUGGGGUAAAGGCCUACCAAGGCGACGAUCAGUAGCUGGUCUGAGAGGAUGAUCAGCCACACUGGAACUGAGACACGGUCCAGACUCCUACGGGAGGCAGCAGUGGGGAAUCUUGCGCAAUGGGGGCAACCCUGACGCAGCCAUACCGCGUGUGCGAUGAAGGUCUUCGGAUUGUAAAGCACUUUCAGUAGGGACGACGAUGACGGUACCUACAGAAGAAGUCACGGCUAACUUCGUGCCAGCCGCCGCCGUAA
This 450-nucleotide ribosomal RNA is filed under the name uncultured bacterium. Its description in RNAcentral is "partial 16S ribosomal RNA". It matches the Rfam family "Bacterial small subunit ribosomal RNA", at positions 29 to 523 of the family's 1533-position model. The record is from RNAcentral.